Molecule: ribosomal RNA, 497 nt
Filed under: uncultured bacterium
Lineage: Bacteria
Description: partial 16S ribosomal RNA
Rfam family: Bacterial small subunit ribosomal RNA
Source: RNAcentral
GAUGAACGCUGGCGGCGUGCCUAAUACAUGCAAGUCGAGCGAACGGACGAGAAGCUUGCUUUUCUGAUGUUAGCGGCGGACGGGUGAGUAACACGUGGAUAACCUACCUAUAAGACUGGGAUAACUUCGGGAAACCGGAGCUAAUACCGGAUAAUAUUUUGAACCGCAUGGUUCAAAAGUGAAAGACGGUCUUGCUGUCACUUAUAGAUGGAUCCGCGCUGCAUUAGCUAGUUGGUAAGGUAACGGCUUACCAAGGCAACGAUGCAUAGCCGACCUGAGAGGAUGAUCGGCCACACUGGAACUGAGACACGGUCCAGACUCCUACGGGAGGCAGCAGUAGGGAAUCUUCCGCAAUGGGCGAAAGCCUGACGGAGCAACGCCGCGUGAGUGAUGAAGGUCUUCGGAUCGUAAAACUCUGUUAUUAGGGAAGAAAAUAUGUGUAAGUAACUGUGCACAUCUUGACGGUACCUAAUCAGAAAGCCACGGCUAACUACGUG